This 485-nucleotide ribosomal RNA is filed under the name uncultured Saprospiraceae bacterium. RNAcentral's name for it is "bacterial SSU rRNA". It matches the Rfam family "Bacterial small subunit ribosomal RNA", at positions 28 to 507 of the family's 1533-position model. Lineage: Bacteria; Pseudomonadati; Bacteroidota; Saprospiria; Saprospirales; Saprospiraceae. The record is from RNAcentral.
GAUGAACGCUAGCGGGAGGCUUAAUACAUGCAAGUCGAGGGGUAACAGUCCCGGUUUACCGGGAGCUGACGACCGGCGCACGGGUGAGUAACGCGUACACAACCUACCUUUAAGAGGGGGAUAGGCUCGGGAAACUGAGAUUAAUACCCCAUAGUAUUGUUUUAUAGAUUAUUGGACAAUUAAAGUGUUAGCGCUUAAAGAUGGGUGUGCGUAUGAUUAGCUAGUUGGUAAGGUAAUGGCUUACCAAGGCUACGAUCAUUAGGGGGCGUGAGAGCGUGGCCCCCCACACGGGUACUGAGACACGGACCCGACUCCUACGGGAGGCAGCAGUAAGGAAUAUUGGACAAUGGGCGCAAGCCUGAUCCAGCUAUCCCGCGUGCAGGAUGACUGCCCUAUGGGUUGUAAACUGCUUUUGUCAGGGACGAAACCCCUUUAUUUAUAAAGGGCUGACGGUACCUGAAGAAUAAGCACCGGCUAACUCCGUG